This 402-nucleotide unclassified non-coding RNA is filed under the name Hevea brasiliensis (rubber tree). The record is from RNAcentral. Lineage: Eukaryota; Viridiplantae; Streptophyta; Magnoliopsida; Malpighiales; Euphorbiaceae.
GAGAGAGAGAGAGAGAGGAAUCCAAUUCUUUGUACAAAGACACCACCUUUUUGGGGUUUUUAGUACUGUAAAGAAGAUUGCAGUCAUAAGUGUAUUUUGACAAGCUAAAGAAAGAAGAGGGAGAAAAAAAAAGCCUAUUCUUCAAGCCAUUGUUUUUUAUUUGAGAAAGAGAAUCUUAACUUAAGAUAUUCAUAGUGGGAAUCUUUGGGUUCUUUAAAAAUUUUCAAAAAUCAUUCUUUGGUUUUCUUGAAAGGAAAAAUAAAAGAGGGAUAGUUCAUUAGCUAAAAAAAUGGUUUCAAGGUCAUAUUCCAACUUACUAGAUCUUAUUUCUGAUGAUUCGCCAACAUUUGGCCGAGGGGGUAGAAAGCUUUCGAGGGUAGCAACUGUGGCUGGGGUUUUAUC